UCACCUGUUUCUGCCUUUAUCCUGAUCAAUUUAAAGAAUCUGAAGCCAACUCAGUCUACUUCUAAAAGAUAAGUCAGUCCUUUUUUCAAAUACCAAAUAGAACAGAUUCAUGAUCAGAUUUUGCCAAGACCUGUCAAUAUCACCAAGUGCUGCCCCUGGAAAUGACUACCACUGCGCAUCAUUCAGUUCUGACCUGGACUAGGCGGGAAGAAAAGUGAGCCCCUACAGGUCUCGACGUCUUGACGAAGAAUGACAGCAGCCACCCUGGAUCAAGAGCAAGACAGAGGAUGAGGCUGCUGCCUUGCAAGACAAAGCCUAGAAAUGGAGGGACCAGGAGCCUCUGCGGCAUUGCUGGGUUGCUGAAUCCACUCUUGCAGGGAACCCAGAACAUGCUGAAUGUUUCAAUUACACAAGG
Molecule: long non-coding RNA, 415 nt
Filed under: Homo sapiens (human)
Lineage: Eukaryota; Metazoa; Chordata; Mammalia; Primates; Hominidae
Description: HSALNT0041487
Source: RNAcentral